RNAcentral lists this ribosomal RNA (1346 nucleotides) under uncultured bacterium. RNAcentral's name for it is "bacterial SSU rRNA". It matches the Rfam family "Bacterial small subunit ribosomal RNA", at positions 28 to 1381 of the family's 1533-position model. The record is from RNAcentral.
GACGAACGCUUGCGGCGUGCUUAACACAUGCAAGUCGAACGGAAAGGCCCUGCUUUUGUGGGGUGCUCGAGUGGCGAACGGGUGAGUAACACGUGAGUAACCUGCCCUUGACUUUGGGAUAACUUCAGGAAACUGGGGCUAAUACCGGAUAGGAGCUCCUGCCGCAUGGUGGGGGUUGGAAAGUUUCGGCGGUUGGGGAUGGACUCGCGGCUUAUCAGCUUGUUGGUGGGGUAGUGGCUUACCAAGGCUUUGACGGGUAGCCGGCCUGAGAGGGUGACCGGCCACAUUGGGACUGAGAUACGGCCCAGACUCCUACGGGAGGCAGCAGUGGGGAAUAUUGCACAAUGGGCGGAAGCCUGAUGCAGCAACGCCGCGUGCGGGAUGACGGCCUUCGGGUUGUAAACCGCUUUCGCCUGUGACGAAGCGUGAGUGACGGUAAUGGGUAAAGAAGCACCGGCUAACUACGUGCCAGCAGCCGCGGUGAUACGUAGGGUGCGAGCGUUGUCCGGAUUUAUUGGGCGUAAAGGGCUCGUAGGUGGUUGAUCGCGUCGGAAGUGUAAUCUUGGGGCUUAACCCUGAGCGUGCUUUCGAUACGGGUUGACUUGAGGAAGGUAGGGGAGAAUGGAAUUCCUGGUGGAGCGGUGGAAUGCGCAGAUAUCAGGAGGAACACCAGUGGCGAAGGCGGUUCUCUGGGCCUUUCCUGACGCUGAGGAGCGAAAGCGUGGGGAGCGAACAGGCUUAGAUACCCUGGUAGUCCACGCUGUAAACGGUGGGUACUAGGUGUGGGGUCCAUUCCACGGGUUCCGUGCCGUAGCUAACGCUUUAAGUACCCCGCCUGGGGAGUACGGCCGCAAGGCUAAAACUCAAAGGAAUUGACGGGGCCCCGCACAAGCGGCGGAGCAUGCGGAUUAAUUCGAUGCAACGCGUAGAACCUUACCUGGGUUUGACAUGGAUCGGGAGUGCUCAGAGAUGGGUGUGCCUCUUUUGGGGUCGGUUCACAGGUGGUGCAUGCCUGUCGUCAGCUCGUGUCGUGAGAUGUUGGGUUAAGUCCCGCAACGAGCGCAACCCUUGUUCACUGUUGCCAGCACGUUAUGGUGGGGACUCAGUGGAGACCGCCGGGGUCAACUCGGAGGAAGGUGGGGAUGACGUCAAGUCCUCAUGCCCCUUAUGUCCAGGGCUUCACGCAUGCUACAAUGGCUGGUACAGAGAGUGGCGAGCCUGUGAGGGUGAGCGAAUCUCGGAAAGCCGGUCUCAGUUCGGAUUGGGGUCUGCAACUCGACCUCAUGAAGUCGGAGUCGCUAGUAAUCGCAGAUCAGCAACGCUGCGGUGAAUACGUUCCCGGGGCU